UGCAAAUGAGAUAUUUUAUUCCAUAUUCCCUGCCAGCAAAUGAUUAGAAUCAAACUCAUUCACAAUAGUUUGGUGAACUCCUAAACUUUUUUUUUUUUUUUAAAGGAUCAGAAUAGUUUGAAACAGGGUGCUUGUCAGUCUCGUGUGCCUGUGGAAAGGAAAAGAACUCCCUUUCUAGGCACACCAGCCAGCUGGGAGUUCCUCUACCAUCCAGCUUCUUUCUUGGAACGGAAAGAAAUAAGAACGCGAUGGGGUGGGGCUGGCUCUUAGGAAGGCUUGGGGUGGUACCUGAUUCAGGGGAUGCCAAGGAGCCAUCAAGCAGCACCAACCAUUGUAGCUACUUGCCCAGCAUCUCACCCAUCGCCUACCUUGGGUAGUAAAAUGGAGGAGGAAAACCACGUAUAGAAGGCAAGAUACGGGUGACGCCUGAAUUAAAACACCCACAAUUACACUAUAUGGGAACAUAUCUGUGCAAGUAUAUGCACGUUCUACCCAGACAAGCUGUGACGUCAGAUUCAACUCCUGAAACACCCACUAAACCUACCUGCCCUGUGUGUGCUCGGGCCUCUCAUCACAGAGCAUCAGAUCACUGGCCAGAUUUCCAAAAGAGUCUUCGGAUUCUCCGUUUAGCCAAGAAGCUUAAUUAGAAUUAUGACAUUUGCUUUCUCUGUUUAUUUAAGUCCUUCCUGUCACUUUGCAGCCUGGCCUAGUCUCUCUUGAAAAAUGAGGACCUUCUAGUGAGGCCCAGAGCAGAGAGAGGGAAUAGGACCCUGAGAGGGCAGGAAAUUCGCCCAGAAAGCUUUUUAAACCCUGCCAAGUGCUUGACUAGCUGUGAGGGUCACCAGUAGCACAGGCUAUUUAACCAGUGACUGGCAGAGCCCCAGCCAGGAACCAGGUUUUCUGACUUCUAGUCUGGUAUUCUUUCUGAGCCUUUCCAAGGGGAGUAUAUUAUACAUUUCUCAGACACUUCAAAAAUCCCGUUCUGUCUCUUCCAUUUUUCCCUGCCAAUGACGAUUUGCUCACCUGGAUCCAAACCUCCCCCUCUUCCAUAUUCUCCUGGGCUUUCUCAGCUGUGGUCUUGGCAAGGUGCUUCUUUAGAAAGUUUCAUACACACACACACACACACACACACACACAUAAGGUUUCAAUGCCCUUCUCAAUAAGUAACAUUUUCAUUUAUAACAAAAUUAUGAUCUUAUACAAUUGCAGCCUUAUAAAGUAAAUGUUUAGAACGCCAGCUUCUGCCCUGUCCUACACACCUCUGCAUGGCUGGGCAUCCCAGUAUCUUCCAGGCCAGUAAGUUUAGGGCUCCCUUGCCUGAAGAUGAUCAUGUAACCAAUGUCUCUUGUUUUUCGCUAACAUUAUAUCUCCAACGGUGCUUUUGGUGGGGUUGGGGGGGGGGGGAGUGGUCCAAACGCCCCUUUAGAUCCUAUCCAACUCUGUUGAUUCCUAAAUAUUUAUUAAGCAUCUAUUGCAUGUCAGACUCUUUUUAAGUUGCUGGAGGGUAGGGGGCUGAGCUACAAAGCUAAGAGUCAUCUGUUCCUUUUCCUUUUAAGAACGUUUAAUUUAGCUGGGAAAAGGAAAAUAGUGCAUUUCAUCUUUUCUAAAGAUUCGUUAAAAUCUCCAAUGAGUUUCAUUGUCCUCAUGAUCUCACAAUUCCAAAUGACUUUUAAAAAAAUCUGACUUCACUGAAUAAGAUGUGAGGUUAGAUCACCAUGCCAACUAGUGGCCUCAAAAACACCGAUGCGUAUAUAUGUAAGUCAUUAAGUAUCACCAGGUUUCACCAAGUAAAAGCGUUCUGGUCCCUUCCCCUACCAACCCUUAUGCAUUUCCAUGCAGCAAUCUGCCAGCUCGGUCUAUGCUUCUCCCCAGGCUGGGGUUAGGGAUAAACUCUCUGACUCUAAGCACCUUGAAAGGUACGAGGCCGAGGAGGGCGCAGAAGCAGCCCCCGCAUGUAUAUGCAUGCCCUAGGCAGGUCUGCUCCGAAGGUAACCUUCCCGCGCCGGGAGGCGGGGUGGAGGAGGUCUUCCGGGCUCCGGAGGAAACCUGCCGGCUGCAGGCGGGCGACCCCCCCCCCCCCAAACUUCUCCCGGCAGGAUGCUGCCCCUCGCAGUUCGUCAGUCAGCCAAAUGCAUUCCAGAGCUGUGCACAAGACACACUUCUCCAGGCAGUCCUAGAAACCCGAGCCCGGAGCGAGAGAGGGCGGGAGGGAGCGCGCGGCCGCCGCUGAGGUCACAUUCGCGCCGCCUCCCCGCCCUCGGCGGCCCGGCUGUUCCCUCCAGUGCACACUUCCCGGGGCCUCGGUCCAGUCCGGUGUAAAUGUCUUUUAAACCGAGACAGCGGUGUCCUCCCCCUUCCCUCCCGCGCGGCCAGGGGAUCCGCCGCCAGGGCCUUUAAAACAGGACGAAUGAAUGAAGCGCGUAGGGCGAGCGCGCGCGGGACGGCGCGGCGAGGCUCUGUGGGUUGGGUCUAAAUUGGGCCACCGACCCGCUCGUUCCGCUCCAAAACUCGCCGGCGAAGCCCGCUCAGUGCUCUCGGGUCUUCCCAUUUCUCCUCUGAUCCGGCCAGGUCUCAGUCGAUUCUGGGAGCUUCUCUGCUCCCCACCUUUAUUCCGCCCCCCCAUUGGUCUCCCCUCUGCAGACCCAGGAGGGGGUGGCGAGGGCGGGGGGGACGGCAGGGGGAGAAAUAGCUUUUAGAAAC
This 2700-nucleotide long non-coding RNA is filed under the name Equus caballus (horse). RNAcentral describes it as "lncRNA (ENSECAG00000047627.1)". The record is from RNAcentral. Lineage: Eukaryota; Metazoa; Chordata; Mammalia; Perissodactyla; Equidae.